Long non-coding RNA from Priapulus caudatus, 1141 nucleotides. RefSeq lists it as uncharacterized. The transcript has 2 exons. The record is from RefSeq and is a predicted model, not a curated record. Lineage: Eukaryota; Metazoa; Priapulida; Priapulimorpha; Priapulimorphida; Priapulidae.
UCGCUAAUGGAAAAGCUUGAUUAAUUUACCGUGUUGCGUUUUUAGGAGCUAGUCUUUCAACGAAACGCGGUACGUGUCUCUCUCGUGGCUUGACUACAUAGACAUCUCUCACGAGGCAAGCGGCUAUCGGCGGUGCCUAUUCGUUUACGUCUACGAAAACAUGUGAAGCUCGUUUGGUCGCGCCGGAUUAUAUCCAUCAGGGUGCGACACCGACCAUGGACUCACGGGACGCCUGGCCGCAUAGCUACGUGUCGGCCAGUACAGCGGCAGCAGCUCGCCGUGUGAAGAUUCCCACACUGACGUUGUAAAGCGACCGAUGAACGUUGGAUAAACUAUGAACGCUCGAUUAAACCAAUGGCAUUAUCGACGAGCGCGCCUUUAUUCGAUUAUGCGAUUACACGCAAAGCGCAUGAUUAUUCCGCUUCCACGAAUAAGCCUACGUUCGCGUACUUAUGCUGCGAUUCUUCGUCUGCAUCUACUGUAGGGAAACCGCAGCCGCGAAAGUCUCGCGCGCAGAGUUAAAUUUCCGAGGAAGCAGCAAUGCUGGCGUGAGUGCGCAGAUUCCCUCGAGGCAGCCUGCUAGAGAACACUCACCAGUGACCCACAGCACGCGCUGCUCCGCCAAGCUGAAGCAAACAGCUGGUGAUUACCGCACGGGCAGCUGGCCAAGCUGACCAUUAGUGAGCCGACUGAAGCCACCAGCUGAAACUGUAACGACGGGAUAUAUUUUAAGUCCGAUCAACAGAUCGCCAUGGAGCCCGUGAUGAUGUUGCUAGUGCUGAUCAUCGUAGUUACAGCUGUACUCGUGUUUUUUGCCUGUACUUGAGAACACGUGCUUAAAUACACUCGCACACACGUGGGUGGCUGAUGACGAUAGGCAAUAUCUAUGUAUGUUCUGUUUAAAAAUCCAUUUGUAUUUGCAGAAGCUGGCACUUACGGCUCUGCAGGGAACAACCUUGUAUUAAUGUGUGUGGCUCUACAUGUGCAUACAAAAACCAUCAGCCAUCAAAUUUUUAUUUACGUUUGAAUUAAAGCGCAAUAAAUGUAGUUCAGACCAACCUAACAGUCAAAGAAAAACAAAGUGUUUCUAUAUUUAACUCUCUGUAUUAAAAUCACUAAAGUGCUAAUUAUCUCGACAACA